RNAcentral lists this unclassified non-coding RNA (377 nucleotides) under uncultured Actinomycetes bacterium. RNAcentral describes it as "uncultured actinobacterium contains 16S-23S intergenic spacer region". Lineage: Bacteria; Bacillati; Actinomycetota; Actinomycetes. The record is from RNAcentral.
UCCGAUUUGUCACCGGCAGUCUCCUAUGAGUCCCCGUCUUUCACGCUGGCAACAUAGGACAGGGGUUGCGCUCGUUGCGCCACUUAAGGCAACACCUCACGGCAUGAGCUGACGACAGCCAUGCAGCACCUGUGCAGGCUCCCGAAGGAGCGCCGUGUUUCCACGGCUUCACCCUGCAUGUCAAGUCCUGGUAAGGUUCUUCGCGUUGCGUCGAAUUAAGCCACAUGCUCCGCCGCUUGUGCGGGCCCCCGUCAAUUCCUUUGAGUUUUAGCCUUGCGGCCGUACUCCCCAGGCGGGGCGCUUAAUGCGUUAGCUUCGGCACGGAUCCCGUGGAAGGAAACCCACACCUAGCGCCCACCGUUUACGGCGUGGACUAC